UACGGAGGAUGCGAGCGUUAUCCGGAUUUAUUGGGUUUAAAGGGUGCGUAGGCGGGCUUCUAAGUCAGCGGUAAAAAUUCGGGGCUCAACCCCGUCCGGCCGUUGAAACUGGGGGCCUUGAGUGGGCGAGAAGAAGGCGGAAUGCGUGGUGUAGCGGUGAAAUGCAUAGAUAUCACGCAGAACCCCGAUUGCGAAGGCAGCCUUCCGGCGCCCUACUGACGCUGAGGCGCGAAAGUGCGGGGAUCGAACAGG
This 252-nucleotide ribosomal RNA is filed under the name uncultured bacterium. RNAcentral describes it as "partial 16S ribosomal RNA". It matches the Rfam family "Bacterial small subunit ribosomal RNA", at positions 524 to 776 of the family's 1533-position model. The record is from RNAcentral.